Molecule: long non-coding RNA, 2303 nt
Filed under: Canis lupus familiaris (dog)
Lineage: Eukaryota; Metazoa; Chordata; Mammalia; Carnivora; Canidae
Description: lncRNA (ENSCAFG00000057697.1)
Source: RNAcentral
UUUUUUUUUUUUUUGCUUAAGAAUGAUGUUUUCAUUAUUUCACCAUUUAAUGCAUAGUUUUUUUAAAAAAUCCAAAUGCAAGUCUUUGCAUUUAUUUCUGUUACAACUCAGCCCUUAUCAUUCCAGCCCAUACAGUUCUGUGGAAUGUGAUAAAUUGUGACAAAUGCUUCAGGAUUACUAAUAAAAUCCAACAUAUUUAUUAUACCUCCCAGCUUGGUGGUAUCUGUAAAUUGACCUUAUCACAAUGGUAAUAUGCAUUUAAUAGCUGUACUAAGGGUUUAAAAAUACCUUUUCAUCUAAUCUUCAAAAUGACUCAAGGAAGAUACUUUAUCCCCAUUAAAGUGUUGAGAAAAGAGAAGCUUAGAAAAUCUAAAUUACUUCCUGAGUAAAGGCUGGGAUUUAUACCUAGGUCUGUCAGACUCUCAAGCUUCAGUUCUUAAACCCUUGACCAUGUAUUUUCAACCUUGGCUUUGCAUCAAAACCACCUAAGAACUUUAAAAAGAGAUAGCAGCCAAAGCCCCAUCUGACAAUAUUGUCACAGUCUUAUUGCAGGUGCCUAAGUAUAGCUUAGUCGAACUUCCAUUCAUGGCUUAAUUUUUAUCACUUCUGUAUCCUGUGGGGGUGUGGCUUAGCAAGGUGUUAUGAGCUACUUAAAAGUGUGCUUGAUACCCGCUCCUUUAAAGCGUUAGUGAUUUUAAGGGCAUUCUCUCUGGGCGUGGAGGCUUGCAUGUGUAAGCUUACUAAGGACUAAUAGGAAGGCUAGGACCAAACCUUUGUGUUUAUGGAGUCUUAUGACUCAUCUUUGCAUUUUCAGUGCUUUGCUUUACUAAUUAAGCUACAUUAACAAAUGUUUAUGGCAUUGUAUGCUAUGUUAGUGAGUGUGUGGGUAUGGGUUGUGUAUUAAAUAGAGGGAUAAAGUUAAGGAAACCCUAUCUAUAGAUAGACUGCGAGAUAGGCAUAUAAAGUCGUUUUGUUGAAUUAACUGGGGUUGUGAUGUACUUGUAUAAAAUUUAGAUGAGGCUUAUGGAUGUUGCAUAGACUUAGUCCUGUUUUUGGGGUUUGGCGGGACAUAAAUAAGCAUAUAGUAAAUAACAUGAAUUUAUGGGGGGUAAGGGGGGUUUGGAUUAAUUUAAUGUCUCGCGUGUGUGCGCAUACGUGUAUACGUGUACACGUGUGUAGUAUAUACGUGUGUACGUGUGUAUGUGUUCCUGCCAUGUUUUGCUAUAGCUGAAGGAUAGGAUCUUGCUGUGUGCCAUACACACCACCCCACAGGUCACAAUUAGCUGCUAAUUUUUACUUUUAGAUAUGGCCAUACAAUCAGUUUUGAAUCUAAAUAUGUAAUCCUCCAAUCCACAUUUAUUAUUUUUCCAUAUUGUGUGAAAGAAUGUCAUAAAAAACUUGCUCAAGUUUGUUCUCUUGGGGGGCACAGGGUUGCUCAGUUGGUGAAAUAUCUGACUUUUGAUUUUGGCUCAGCUUAUGAUCUCAGCUUUGUGGGACUGAACCCCAUGUUGGGCUCCUUACUGGGCAUGGAGCCUGUUUAGGAUUCUUUCUCGCUCUCUCCCUCUGCUCCCCUACCCCCACACUCUGUCUCUCAAAAAAAAAAAAUUGUUCUCUUGGAAUUCUCUUUUAUUCUUAUAAAAAAUAGGGAUAUCCUUCUGAAACGUUUGCCCAGGGAGCAAAUUUCUAGCCCUCCCAGUACCAGGGAUCACAUAAAGAGCCAAACAAUUCUCUAUAGGGUGAAAAGAACUCAACAUUCCAGGACAGUAUUGACUUAAAAAUCAUACUUUCUUAGUGUGAAAAGAGGUUUCCACUCUCUGAAUGACACUAAGCAGGUCACUUUAUCUUUUUGGGCAGGUAGAUAGAUUUCUCAAUUCUAUAAACCUAAGAAUAAUGUAUUUUCUUUCCAGUCCACCUGUCUUCCAUAUCCAAAUCACUUUCAAAAAAUAGUGUCCCUUUGUAGAGGCUCAUUUUUCAGGCAAACAGUCUUGACCAAUGGAAUGUAGAAAAUGGGACCCACCCCAAAAUAUCCACAUGCCUUAACUGACCAACAGGCUACUUACACUUAGGCAGGAGAAUUCCAUCAUUGCCAUAGGUUUUCAUCUUUUCCCUUUUAAGAAGGGCCCCCAGGGGCACCUGGGUGGCUCAGUGGUUGAGCGUCUGCCUUUGGCUCAGGUCAUGAUCCUGGGGUCCUGGGAUCGAGUCCUGCACCAGGAUCCCUGUGGGGAGCCUGCUUCUCCCUCUGCCUAUGUCUUAGUUUCUCUGUCUCUCAUGAAUAAGUAAAAUCUUAAAAAAAAAAAAAAAAA